This 23-nucleotide non-coding RNA is filed under the name Rattus norvegicus (Norway rat). Lineage: Eukaryota; Metazoa; Chordata; Mammalia; Rodentia; Muridae. The record is from RNAcentral.
UAAAAUGUGAGUAAAAUACUUUU